UUUUUCCCCUCACAAAUUUCACGUUGUUUUACCUUAAAUCUUUAAUCUUUAUUUCGAUAUGUGUUGGUUGAGUUCAUCAGAUAAUGAUAUUCAUUAUAUGUGAUGAUUGCGAAUUGGGAAAUGUGGCUUGUAGAACAUGCCGUCUGAUGGGUUACAUCAGGACCGCGUGCGCACCGGUAAUGAUCAUGGAUAUAAGGUUAUUAUGGAUUUGUCUGCCCUGAUCGAGCAUUGCUCUCUGGGCUGAGUUCAGUUGAUUGCCGGAGUUAAGGUCCCUGAUCGAGCAAUGCUCUCUGGGCGCCGGCUUAUUUGGAAUUCAAGUGUUCAGGCUGGAGGUAAGGACCCUGAUCGAGCUUGCUCUCUGGGCGCCAGACCUGUUGGAUUAAGAGAGCCGAAAGGCUACUAGAAUUUGGAGUUUAGGGUUCUACCGAGCCACUCGUCCCGAAAAGAAAAGAAACAAAGAUAUUUUUAUUUAUUUAUUUAUUUCAUUAUGGUAUGAUGACAUCAUGAUUUCUGUUUAUGUUCAGGGUUUGAUAUAUGGACUCGAAUAAUUAAUAUUUCCUGUGCAGACUGCAAUAGUCUCUAGAUUAUUUGAUUUUAUCUCACUCUCGAGACUGACAGUCUCAGUUGUAAUUUUUUUCAGGUGAUAGUUAAAGACCUUCGCCAUCGCACAUUCGACAGUCCGACUUCUUCUUCUUCGGACUUUUGUAAUUAUCUUGUACUUAUAUACUUGUCAUUUUUACUCUAGAGUAUCCGCAG
This 756-nucleotide long non-coding RNA is filed under the name Ricinus communis (castor bean). RNAcentral's name for it is "long non-coding RNA (RCOM_LNC003807)". The record is from RNAcentral. Lineage: Eukaryota; Viridiplantae; Streptophyta; Magnoliopsida; Malpighiales; Euphorbiaceae.